RNAcentral lists this ribosomal RNA (1520 nucleotides) under uncultured bacterium. RNAcentral describes it as "16S ribosomal RNA". It matches the Rfam family "Bacterial small subunit ribosomal RNA". The record is from RNAcentral.
AAGAGUUUGAUCCUGGCUCAGAACGAACGCUGGCGGCGUGCUUAACACAUGCAAGUCGAACGCGAAAGUUUUCUUCGGAAGACGAGUAGAGUGGCGCACGGGGGCGCACGGGUGAGUAACGCGUAAGUUAUCUACCUCGGCAUCUGGAAUAACUCACCGAAAGGUGUGCUAAUACCGGAUACGUUGAGUAAUCAAGAAAGGUGGCCUCUGAAUAUGCUACUGUGCUGAGAUGAGCUUGCGUACCAUUAGCUAGUUGGUAGGGUAAUGGCCUACCAAGGCAACGAUGGUUAGCGGGUCUGAGAGGAUGAUCCGCCACACUGGAACUGGAACACGGACCAGACUCCUACGGGAGGCAGCAGUGAGGAAUAUUGCGCAAUGGGGGCAACCCUGACGCAGCGACGCCGCGUGAGUGAAGAAGGCCUUCGGGUCGUAAAGCUCUGUCAGCAGGGAAGAAGUGCAUGGUGGCUAAUAUCCAUUGUGUUUGACGGUACCCUCAAAGGAAGCACCGGCUAACUCCGUGCCAGCAGCCGCGGUAAUACGGAGGGUGCAAGCGUUGUUCGGAAUUAUUGGGCGUAAAGCGCGUGUAGGCGGCCUUGUAAGUCAGAUGUGAAAGCCCACGGCUUAACCGUGGAAGAGCAUUUGAAACUGCAAGACUUGAGUACCAGAGGGGAAAGUGGAAUUCCUAGUGUAGCGGUGAAAUGCGUAGAUAUUAGGAGGAACACCAGUGGCGAAGGCGACUUCCUGGCUUGUAACUGACACUGAGGCGCGAAAGCGUGGGGAUCAAACAGGAUUAGAUACCCUGGUAGUCCACGCCGUAAACGAUGAGUGCUAGGUGUAGGGGGUAUUGACCCCUCCUGUGUCGCAGCUAACGCAUUAAGUGUACCGCCUGGGGAGUACGGUCGCAAGAUUAAAACUCAAAGGAAUUGACGGGGGCCCGCACAAGCGGUGGAGUAUGUGGUUUAAUUCGACGCAACGCGAAGAACCUUACCUGGUCUUGACAUCCCGAGAAUCUCUUGGAAACUAGAGAGUGCCUUCAACCGAAGGAGCUUGGAGACAGGUGCUGCAUGGCUGUCGUCAGCUCGUGUCGUGAGAUGUUGGGUUAAGUCCCGCAACGAGCGCAACCCUCGCCCUUAGUUGCCACACAUAAUGGUGGGCACUCUAGGGGGACUGCCGGUGUCAAACCGGAGGAAGGUGGGGAUGACGUCAAGUCCUCAUGGCCUUUAUGACCAGGGCUACACACGUACUACAAUGGUCGGUACAAAGGGCGGCGAGCUCGCGAGGUGGAGCUAAUCCCAUAAAACCGGUCUCAGUCCGGAUCGGAGUCUGCAACUCGACUCCGUGAAGUUGGAAUCGCUAGUAAUCGUGGAUCAGCAUGCCACGGUGAAUACGUUCCCGGGCCUUGUACACACCGCCCGUCACACCACGAAAGUCGGUUGUACCAGAAGACGUUGAGCUAACCGCAAGGAGGCAGGCGUCCAAGGUAUGGCUGGUAAUUGGGGUGAAGUCGUAACAAGGUAACC